Long non-coding RNA from Spinacia oleracea (spinach), 7422 nucleotides. RefSeq lists it as uncharacterized. Lineage: Eukaryota; Viridiplantae; Streptophyta; Magnoliopsida; Caryophyllales; Amaranthaceae. The record is from RefSeq and is a predicted model, not a curated record. The transcript is spliced from 3 exons.
GCCUAGCAUAGGGCGUGAGAAAUUAUGGCGCCCAGCCAGGGGCGUUGAAAAUGCGUCCCUGGCUGGUUCUCGUUAUGCGACUUUGAUUUAGCGUGCUUGCCUAAUAACGUCCUUUACGCGUUGUGCAGUGUUUGUGAGAUUCGUUACAGGCCAUCCCGAGUGUCGCUUAUUUUUGUGGCGAUCGUUCGGGUUUGCGGAACACGUAUUUCGGUAUAACUCUUUGGCCAAUUUGUUUAUGAAUGUUUGGACAAUUUUUAAGGUCGUUGGUUUCUAACAUUGUUUGUCACACACAAUCAUACAUUUCGCUACACAUAACUAACAUUGCAUCAUGAGGCAAUAAUAAUAUGUCAUGUAGUUUAUGAUAGGCUUCUAUGGGUAGUAUUUGCGCCUGGCUUGGUACCGCUUCUAUCGCAGAUCCAACACAUGCCCCGGUCGAGGUAGUGCCUUCAACAGACGAAUUUCGCCCAAGAGGCCAAUCACGAUGUAAGCCAAGGGGGCAUGCACCAAUGAGAGGGACCUAUUGGGCGAGCGAUUGGGUUUGGGACGGGUGUACUACUAGCGAAAGUGCCGAGUGGACAACAUUCGAAGCGUAUGCACCCCCCGGUUGGCGAUGGGUAUCCUUAGUCCUAACUCCCUGAGGGAGCCAAGAUUCGUUAUGCGGUUCUGCCCGUUCACAUUAAUAUGCUGAUUUUCAGGUCGUCCCAACUUGAUGGGGAAAUAAACGCGGGGUAGGAUCGUUUCACCCUUCGGCUAUUUUGAUUACCUACAAGCACGAGUAUUUCCUUCACUAUCCCCAAUGGAGUCGCCACUGUGAGGGGGGCAAAAAAGCACGAGGCUAAUGCGUGACCUCGUCCCUCGUGGGUGUGACGCUUCUUUUUUGUCAAAUAAAGUGUAAUUGGAUUUCUUGUGAGUUUACACCCAAUUGACUAGUAAUAUAGGAGUCGCCAUUCAGUUUUUAACGAUAAUGAGAAAAACUGACAAAACUCGGUUAUCGUGACAUAAAGGGAGUGCAAUUAUGUUUGACCACGACGGCCGUAGGUUCCCUUGUGAUCCCUGGUGUGGGGAUCUCUCAACAUACACCCGCAAGGUAGAGAUUGAGGGUUCGGGGGACUGUAACUACCGAGAGGAGUACUCGCUCUUCGAUAACUCCAGAGGCAGGAUAUCCUUACUAGCUCAGCAUAAAUAAUUGAAGGGACAUGCGUUAACUAUUAAACUAAUCUGAGUUGAUUUUAACAAUAUGCAACAUAUAAUACUAGAUCGAGCGCGAUUAUCUGAUUUAGAUUGUAUUAAGGGACCUAGCAUGAUAAUCCAAUUUCCCAUAAAUGUUAUCUUUAUUAGGCGUGAUAGAACAAUCAGAUUUAAUUAGUUUAACAGUUCAUAAAAAAGGGAGAGGAAAGCAAUUAAACCAUGGAAAAGGGACACAUUACGACGCACCCUUGAGAGGUGCGCCACGGUUCUCAGAAAACUAACCACUUUGACUUUUCUAUUUCUCCUUUUAUUUAACGAAUCUCAAAUUAUGGGACAGGAUACGUUCUGUUCGAUUUCUGGAUCGAUUGCGACAUAACGCGUGAUUAAUUUCGCAGUGUGAGGCUUAGGCUUAGGGGUUUAGAGUCAAUACUCAGAAUAUGAAUUGUGUGUUGUGUUCCUUUCACGUCGAACUUGGGGCCAUAUUUAUAGAAAAGAGUUCGUGGAAAGAUAGAAUUGUAGAACUCUAAUCCACGAGGAAUUAGGAAAGAACACGUCCCAGGUAAUUUCAGCGCCCAGGGCUAGGCGCCGAAGAUUUCGGCGCCCAGAGCCAGGCGUUGAAAAUAGGGUCUGGGCCGUUUCUUUGUCAGAUUCAGACUCUUAGAAUCCGGAGUGUAUGAGACUUAAUCGAGUCUUUUAGUGCGUAUUAAUUUUAUGAGGGAAUGCGUCUGGGCCCGUUACGAACUCUAGGCUCGUUAGGAUUUUAAUUAAUACGUAACUCUUAUUUUCGAAUCGUAUUAGGAAUAGGAUUCUCUCGCAAUUUCUAUCUCAUUUAGGAUUUAUGUUGGAGUGCAACACCUAAUUCUGACAGGUUUCUAUCUUUUAUGACUUGCCACUUUUAACAACUACCCAUUACGGCAGUUACUACUUUUAGCAGGUUUCCAUAAAUAGCAGGUUUCUAUAAAUAGCAGAUUUCUAUAAAUAGCAGGUUUCGGGUGAAAUGAAAAGGGUGAUUGAGAUUCGUUAUUUUAUAGGAGAUGCGUUGUCAAGUGGAGAUUUAUGUUCUCAUUAUCGAACCUUCCCUUUCGGGAAUGGGGACAAAAGUAGGUGUCUACAGAUGUCAUGGCUGCAAGUUUGAUGCUGUUGGUUGUCUUUGAGUUGUUAACAAGUUUUGCAACCCUAAAUAUUUUGUGCAACAUCUUUUAGAGUAUAAUGAUAGACCUGUUCUUAGUCAUGAAGAUACGGAGAUGAUGAUUGAAGAUCUGGUACUGUACUGCGUUGAACCUUGCACAAUUUCAGUUUUACUACUGCUUAAUUGAUUUUGUAGAUUAAUUUUUUCAGGUAAGAGAAAUAACUCCAGUUUUGCAAACAUAUGAGCUUAGAAGGCAUAAACCAACUCCGAUAGAUGAAGUUAGAGCAGGUAAUCUUGCUUGACCUUUAGAUAAAAAUAAGCAUACGUUUCGGGGAAUGUUCUUUCUCAAAGUAGAUGAAGCUAGAGCAGUAACAUCAAUGAUGAAGAUUUAUGAGCAGGUAACUCAACUCAACUCAACUUACCAAAACAAACAAACUAACCAACUGAGGUGAAAGAUACAAUAACUACAUUGCAAAAGCGGAAAAAUGUGCAAAGAAGGACUCAAAAGAGCUACAACAAUGCAUCGGGAAAAAAUGUACACUCAAGCUCAAAGUCAAUAACAAAGGAUACAUACAAGAGCUAACUGUUAUUAAGUUCUUCCAUGUUGAAACAGAUGACAAAAUAGCUGCAAAACGACAAGGGAAGAGAGGACUAUCACAAAGUAGAUACCUACAACAAGCACAACACCAACUGCAAACCAAGACCUAAUCCAGCUCACGGACUACAUACUAAACUCAUAAAUGAUGAUCCAAAGAUAAAAUGUCUGUCACAAAUAAAAAGUCGUUUUGCCUCACUUGAAAAUGGGAAGUGAUAAAUCCAAGGAAAUUUUAACUUCUUCCAAGGAAAUCCAUAUUUUUUCAAAGAUGAUUUCCUUGGAAGAAGUGAAUUAUUCCUUGGAUUUAUCAUUUCCCCUUGAAAAUCUACACUUUUUUAAUACCAACAAAGAAGGGUUAAUCAGGAUUUAUUACCAACAACGUAACUACCGGUUUCCAUAAAAGUAUUUGUUGUGAGUUGGUUGAUUAUUUAGCUAGGUUUAAUUAGUUUGUCAUUAAUUCUGUUAGUGGUGUCAAAUGUUAACAACUCCUUCCAAUUGUACUGUCAGAAUGCACCUUUUAAUUUAGUCUCUUAGAUUUCACUCCUGGGUUUAUGUCGAAUAAAUUUACAUCUCUUCUUAAUUGUAGUCUCAAAAAGAAAUUUGUCGUCAAAAAUCUGUAGACAUUAUGUUUCCUAAUGGGCUAAUGAAAUACACCAACAAAGGCAAACACAAAGUAUUAUACGAACACCCAACACCACCAAAAACAAAAACAACUACACAAAACAUAUUUUUUCACCCACCUAACAACACACCAAAGCCACCCUUAUGAAAAUGGAACAUCUAAACAAAGUCACACUAACAACAUAAAUGAACUUUCAAUAUAACACAUUAAGGUUAACCAACAUAUACCAAGCCCGUUCUGUGAACGGGUCCAAUAACUAGUUUGCUACAUUAACUUCGUCUUGUUACUCUAGAACACCUACAUAUUUACGAGGAAUUCAACAACGCGCCACUACUAGAACUCUUCUACUUGUUCAAUUCAUACUACUACUUAGACCUGACCAAGACGAGCUCGGCCCGUCGCCCCAGCCCGCUCCGCCCGAAUUUUUUGCGGGUUUGGGCAGAUUUCCCGGCCCGAAAAUUCAAUUUUUUUGGACGGGUUUGGGAAACAUAAAAAUACACUUUUUUAGUCAUAAAUUUGGCCCGGUCCGAAAAUGGCCCGAAAAGCCAGGUAUUUUAGGCCCGAAAAUAGCGGCUUUGGGCACAAUUUUUUUACCCGAAUCUUGGCCCGGGCCGACAUACCGGGCUGAUUUUUUAUGCCUAGGCCCGGCCCGACGUUUGAUCAAGUCUACUACUAUUAAAUAUCUUGAAGUUUCUAUUCAAGAUUUCAAGCCAAUUUUAUCUUUAGUUUUCAAUGGGGUAAAAAUAAGGGGAAAAGGUAGAAAAUGAAAGAAUUUCAUUGUUGAAAUCAAGACCCUCAAUCUCUCUCCUACUGUAUCGACAUGUUUUCCCCAAAACCAACAAUUCAUACCAUAAUCAUACAUCAAUUUAAAAAGAGCAAAAAUGGGGAUCAAUUUAUUCAUUGGGUGGUGCAGAGGCGAAGCUAAGGAACGGUCAAACGGAGGCGAGGGGCGGCUAUAGACGGUGGCUGUGGGUGGAGGUGGUAGGCAGGCUGUUGACGGGCUUCAGUAAGGUAGGUGAGAAGCAAUCGAGGGAUUGCAUACUUGUUGCCUUUGAUGAAGAGGAAGAUGCUCUGUUUGUUUCUUAUUAAACUCCCCCAAUUGUUAGUGAAAGUAGGGAACAAGAGUUAAAAAUAUGGAGUAAUAAUAAAAUCGCUAAUUGAUUUCGGGUUCAAGUCAAAAUCGUGGACUCAGUCAGCGAUACUUACAACAAAACCGCUAAUUGAGGUGAUGUUCGGCACCGUUGUGGUUUGCUCGGUUUCCGUUUUUUAAUUAAAAAAACAAAACGAAACUAGUUCGGCAAUAUCAUUUAAAAAAACGGAUUCUUAAUAGUUUUGACAAAAACAAAACGGAAAAAGGUAAACCACUUUUAGUGGUUUUAGGAAAAAUGAUUUUUAAAACAACUGUAGAGUACAGUUGUCAACCACUUUCUCUGCCCUCUAAGUCUCUAACCCCUCUUACUUUCUCUCUCUCCUCCAUUGCUCUUCUGCAUACUCUCUUUGUUCAUAGCUCUUUCUGCCAUUUUACUUUCUUCCUCUCCAAUAACUUAUACUUUCUCUCUCCUCCAUGUCUUUUCCUCAGUUGUUCAAUUAUUUCGAAUCUCCUUCAACUCGUCAUAGAUCGCAUCCGUAACAUCUCAAUUACCUAUCACAAAAAUAAUUUCGUUCAACUCCAUAGAUCUGGUACCUUCAACUCCAUCCUCGUUGACGACACAAGCCAAUUUUAGACAAUAAACUUGACGAGUCCAUUUUUUCCGUAGUUAGGGGUGAAAAAGAACGUGUUUACUGACGGCGCCGGAAAAAAACUCCAUCACAUAAUGUUUGAAGAAGCCAACAUUAAAUUCCAUUGAUUUUUUAUGAAUAUUGAUGUACUAUUAUUUGUAACCAUUUAAAUAUACUAAUUUUGAUGAGAAUAAAUAAAUUAAAAUAUAAAGGAGACAAUUUCAUUGAUUAUUUCUUUCUCCGUAUCUUGUUACUGGUUCGUCUUGUUAACUUAUGGUAUUAGUUAUGGCUAUCCUGUCAAACGUGUUUUAUUUUUGUUUUUUAAAAGCAUAAAACCAAACCUAUAUAAUCAGUUGUUUGUUUUUUAAAAACAAAAAACUCAAAAACCAAAAUAGUGCCGAACAGGGCCUGAGUUAGCGGUUUUGUGCUGAGUCAUUAAAGAAAAAAUCGGCAGGUCUAAUUGUUGACGUGGACGGUAUGUUGAGAAUUAUACUCCCUCCGUCCCAGAUUAGUUGUUACACUUUUCUUUUUCGUCCGUCCCAUAUAAGUUGUUACAUUUCUAAAUUAGGAAUGACUCCACAAUUAUUAUAUUGUCUCUCUCUUCCCACUAAAUAUUUUUUUUGUCCCCACACCCUCUCUUAUUCAAUUAAAAAAAAUACUCCACUAACUUCUAUCACUUCUACUUUUUUUAAUAAAAUAACAUUUGAUAACCAAACAAUCACUUAUUACCUACACUUUGUGCAAAGGUUAGUGUAACAACUAAUCUGGGACAGAUAAAGUAUAAGAAAUGGACAUAUUUUGGGAACUUUAACAUUGUUAAGCAUUAUUGUCAGAAAUCGCUCGUAAUAAGUUUGGUGGAUGUAAGAAAAAAUAAAUAAAGUAUGAGAAAGUGAGUGGAAAAUUGUAAAUAUUGUGGGUAAGAAGGGUAAGAUAGUAAUUUUUCAUGUCCAAAAAUAGAAUAAAACAAAAUGUUAAGCCAUUAUGAAACGAACUAAAACGGAAAGUGUAAGAAUCAUUUUAAAACGGAGGUAGUUUUAACCAAUGAGCUUAUGAGAUACUCCCUCCGUUUCUUUUUGUUGUAUUCGUUUCCAUUUUAAGCGUUUCAUAUUGUUGUAUCCAUUUAGAAUCUAUUCUAUUUUUGGACAUACAUUUUAUCCUAAAAUACCCUUACAUUUCUAUCUAAUUACCAAAAUACCUAAAGAUUCUACCCAUAUUCCCACCUAAUUUUCCCCACCCAUAAUAUUUAAUUAUUUUCCCUUCCCCAUAUAGCCACUCUCUCACCUCCUUUAUCACCCAUCAUUAUCACUCCUCUCUCUUACCUUAUUUCUUUAUUAUUUUCUCACUCCUUUAUUUAUUAUAAUCUCUUGCACCCAAUCAUUUAUUUUACACCCAAUCAUUACACUUAUACCUAUACAAACCAAUAUUUCAAUUUUCUUAAAAACCACACCAGAUUCCAAAUGGAUACAUCAAAAAGAAAUGGAGGUAGUAAUCGUUUCAUUUAAUCCCUUUAGUUAUGAAAGUAGGACUAAAAAAACAAUCAGAUUGUUCAGAUCUUUGCACAAAAACAUCAAGUUGUUCACACCAUCAUAGGGCUUCACUUAAAAAGGGUGAUGAAGUAAUUAGCAAGAUUUGGAUUGCAUCCUUCUGAUGCUGGGCUCGGAUGAAGUUGUUUAAUAAAAUUUGUAACGUUGACAUUAAUUAUCGAUUAUCUGGAUUAGGCUAGUCAUUGUACUGUAGAUCAUGACAUUCAUGAUCAUCUUUGAAUUGCUUCAGCUACUAACUACGAACUAGGAAGGUGUUGAAGUGACCAAUAUAACUCAAUACACCGACAAUUAUGUAAAUGUGACUGUUUGGGAUCAUUCUUACAACAUUUUCCCUUUAUUAUUCGGUAACUUGUCUGCAAACUUCCAAUCAACUUCCAGACUCGAUGAUUAAUUGAUAGAUCUUAGUAAAAUCACUUAUUCUUUAGCUUGAUACCAUGAAAAUUGUUGUGAUCAGCCACUGUAAAGAAUACUAAUACACAUUGCGCUACCUAAUUAUGUUAAAUAGUCCAAAGUGUUCCACAAUACUAAUACACAAUACAUAAUCAAAAGGGAUUAAUGGAUUAUGUUGACUUUUAAACAGUUGGAUAAUACUAUGUUCUACAUUUCACCAUGUGGGGGAUUGAUU